This 253-nucleotide ribosomal RNA is filed under the name uncultured bacterium. RNAcentral's name for it is "partial 16S ribosomal RNA". It matches the Rfam family "Bacterial small subunit ribosomal RNA", at positions 524 to 776 of the family's 1533-position model. RNAcentral also lists the same sequence under 2 other names. The record is from RNAcentral.
UACGUAGGUGGCAAGCGUUGUCCGGAUUUAUUGGGCGUAAAGCGAGCGCAGGCGGUUCCUUAAGUCUGAUGUGAAAGCCCCCGGCUCAACCGGGGAGGGUCAUUGGAAACUGGGGAACUUGAGUGCAGAAGAGGAGAGUGGAAUUCCAUGUGUAGCGGUGAAAUGCGUAGAUAUAUGGAGGAACACCAGUGGCGAAGGCGACUCUCUGGUCUGUAACUGACGCUGAGGCUCGAAAGCGUGGGUAGCAAACAGG